CUUGUGUAUAUAGGAGGUCUAGCCUGCCCACUGAGAAUUAAAGGGCCGCGGUAUUUUGACCGUGCAAAGGUAGCAUAAUCAUUAGUCUUCUAAUUAAAGGCUGGAAUGAAUGGUUGGACGAGGUAUUAGCUGUCUCUUUGGAAUUAAUUUGAAUUUAACUUUCUAGUGAAAAGGCUGGAAUAGUAUUGGAGGACGAGAAGACCCUAUAGAGCUUUAUACUUAUCUUUAUUUUAAUUUAUUUGGUAGGAGUGUAAUUUUGUGGGGAGAGUAUUUCGUUGGGGUGACGGGAAGAUAAGAUAAACUCUUCUUAAAGUAAAACAUAAAUGUAUGAUUUAAUUGAUCCAUUAUUAAUGAUUAAAAGACUAAGUUACCUUAGGGAUAACAGCGUAAUCUUUUUUGAGAGUUCUAAUCGACAAAAAGGGUUGCGACCUCGAUGUUGGACUAAGGGUUAUUCUUGGGUGUAGCAGUUCAAGGUUUAGGUCUGUUCGACCUUUGAAUCCUUA
RNAcentral lists this ribosomal RNA (503 nucleotides) under Heptagenia flavescens. RNAcentral's name for it is "partial 16S ribosomal RNA". It matches the Rfam family "Bacterial large subunit ribosomal RNA", at positions 1836 to 2598 of the family's 2925-position model. Lineage: Eukaryota; Metazoa; Arthropoda; Insecta; Ephemeroptera; Heptageniidae. The record is from RNAcentral.